RNAcentral lists this ribosomal RNA (468 nucleotides) under uncultured bacterium. RNAcentral's name for it is "partial 16S ribosomal RNA". It matches the Rfam family "Bacterial small subunit ribosomal RNA", at positions 28 to 507 of the family's 1533-position model. The record is from RNAcentral.
GACGAACGCUGGCGGCGUGCUUAACACAUGCAAGUCGAACGGAAAGGCCCUGCUUUUGUGGGGUGCUCGAGUGGCGAACGGGUGAGUAACACGUGAGUAACCUGCCCUUGACUUUGGGAUAACUUCAGGAAACUGGGGCUAAUACCGGAUAGGAGCUCCUGCUGCAUGGUGGGGGUUGGAAAGUUUCGGCGGUGGGGGAUGGACUCGCGGCUUAUCAGCUUGUUGGUGGGGUAGUGGCUUACCAAGGCUUUGACGGGUAGCCGGCCUGAGAGGGUGACCGGCCACAUUGGGACUGAGAUACGGCCCAGACUCCUACGGGAGGCAGCAGUGGGGAAUAUUGCACAAUGGGCGGAAGCCUGAUGCAGCAACGCCGCGUGCGGGAUGACGGCCUUCGGGUGGUAAACCGCUUUCGCCUGUGACGAAGCGUGAGUGACGGUAAUGGGUAAAGAAGCACCGGCUAACUACGUG